This 107-nucleotide small RNA is filed under the name Marmota monax (woodchuck). The record is from RNAcentral. Lineage: Eukaryota; Metazoa; Chordata; Mammalia; Rodentia; Sciuridae.
GCUGGGCAUGGUGGUGCAUGCCUGUAAUCCCAGCAACUUGGGAGGCUGAGGCAGCAGGAUCAUAAGUUCAAGGCCAGCCUCAGCACCUUAGCAAGAUCCUGUCUCAA